UAUUCCUUAGUGUACGAAGCACAAAAGUUUUUGAUACUUUUAGAGAGAGUUUGAUUCUUUUAGAAAUAA
RNAcentral lists this transfer RNA (69 nucleotides) under Trypetoptera punctulata. RNAcentral describes it as "tRNA-Gln". It matches the Rfam family "tRNA". From Rfam's summary of the family: Transfer RNA (tRNA) molecules are approximately 80 nucleotides in length. Their secondary structure includes four short double-helical elements and three loops (D, anti-codon, and T loops). Lineage: Eukaryota; Metazoa; Arthropoda; Insecta; Diptera; Sciomyzidae. The record is from RNAcentral.